UCAAUUUGCUACAGGACAUUAAAUGCAUAAAAUUAGUAGUAUGGGAACAGAUAAUCAGCCAACGAUAUUAUUGCAUUGUUUAUUCUCUCCCGCUUUAUAUAAUUUUUUUUUUUCAUAUCGGCCACGACAGCCUCUGAACUGGCUCUUUGGCGACACAGACAUCAACUGGGACAGGUCUCUCAGAGACUAAUAGUUCAAGGACUUGGAGGGACUAAAUCCUGCAAUGGUCCAGUUGAUGUCGUACGCAAAGUUAUGAAGGCUGAAGGAUUUCGAGGUAUGUAUAGAGGCUUUGGAUUAACAGCCCUGACACAGUCUCCAGCAUCUGCACUUUGGUGGGGCUCAUACGGUGCUGCCCAGCACAUCAUUUGGAGGAGCUUGGGUUAUAGAGAUGAUCUUGAGAAUAAACCUUCUCACAUGGAGAUGGUGACGGUUCAGGCUACAGCAGGAAUGGUAGCCGGGGCUUGUUCAUCAGUGAUCACUACUCCUAUAGACACCAUAUAGACAAGACUUCAGGUUAUUGACAAUUUUUAUGGUGGAAGACCAUCAGUGAUGAAGACUAUAAACACACUUCUCCAGGAAGAUGGGUGGUGGGAUUCUAUAGGGGGAUUGGACCUCGAUUCCUGAACAUGUCACUCUACGGAACUACCAUGAUUGUAAGAUACGAACUAAUAAAGAGAUUAUCGGUGAAGCAAAGAUGAUUUCAGUGAAAGGAGCAGAACACUUUCUCUAUGUUGUGCACAUGAAAAAUCUUGACCAUGGAUAUAAUUUUUUGGUUGGUAUUUUUGGAGCUUUUAGCGACUACUGAGUAAAGAAUCCAAUUAGAUAUCAUGUUGUUAGAGCGGCAUGGUUCUAUAGUCGGCGGAAAUACUUAAGUAGUGGCUUUCUUUUAUAGUUUCUUUGUGAAGUAUAUAAUCAACUUGGAUUUUUAAUAGGUAUUAAGUACAAGUCGCAGUAGAACUCAAGUGAGUAAUAUUUGUUUUGUUUACUAGUUUAGUCAUUAAUUUCAUUCAUUGCUUACCAGUACAUAACCG
Daucus carota subsp. sativus is the source of this 1031-nucleotide long non-coding RNA. RefSeq lists it as uncharacterized. Lineage: Eukaryota; Viridiplantae; Streptophyta; Magnoliopsida; Apiales; Apiaceae. The record is from RefSeq and is a predicted model, not a curated record. The transcript is spliced from 5 exons.